GUGGGGGAUAACGUAGCGAAAGUUGCGCUAAUACCGCAUAUUCUGUGAGCAGGAAAGCAGGGGACCGCAAGGCCUUGCGCUCUUUGAGCGGCCGAUGUCAGAUUAGCUAGUUGGUGAGGUAAAGGCUUACCAAGGCGACGAUCUGUAGCGGGUCUGAGAGGAUGAUCCGCCACACUGGAACUGAGACACGGUCCAGACUCCUACGGGAGGCAGCAGUGGGGAAUUUUGGACAAUGGGGGCAACCCUGAUCCAGCCAUGCCGCGUGAGUGAAGAAGGCCUUCGGGUUGUAAAGCUCUUUCGGCCGGGAAGAAAUCGCAUGGGCCAAUACCCUGUGUGGAUGACGGUACCGGAAUAAGAAGCACCGGCUAACUACGUGCCAGCAGCCGCGGUAAUACGUAGGGUGCGAGCGUUAAUCGGAAUUACUGGGCGUAAAGCGUGCGCAGGCGGUUUUGUAAGACAGGCGUGAAAUCCCCGGGCUUAACCUGGGAACUGCGUUUGUGACUGCAAGGCUAGAGUACGGCAGAGGGGGGUGGAAUUCCACGUGUAGCAGUGAAAUGCGUAGAGAUGUGGAGGAACACCAAUGGCGAAGGCAGCCCCCUGGGUCGAUACUGACGCUCAUGCACGAAAGCGUGGGUAGCAAACAGGAUUAGAUACCCUGGUAGUCCACGCCCUAAACUAUGUCAACUAGGUGUUGGGUGGGUAAAACCAUUUAGUACCGUAGCUAACGCGUGAAGUUGACCGCCUGGGGAGUACGGCCGCAAGGUUAAAACUCAAAGGAAUUGACGGGGACCCGCACAAGCGGUGGAUGAUGUGGAUUAAUUCGAUGCAACGCGAAAAACCUUACCUACCCUUGACAUGCCAGGAACUUGCCAGAGAUGGCUUGGUGCCCGAAAGGGAGCCUGGACACAGGUGCUGCAUGGCUGUCGUCAGCUCGUGUCGUGAGAUGUUGGGUUAGGUCCCGCAACGAGCGCAACCCUUGCCGUUAAUUGCCAUCAUUUAGUUGGGCACUUUAACGAGACUGCCGGUGACAAACCGGAGGAAGGUGGGGAUGACGUCAAGUCCUCAUGGCCCUUAUGGGUAGGGCUUCACACGUCAUACAAUGGUCGGUACAAAGGGUUGCCAAGCCGCGAGGCGGAGCCAAUCCCAGAAAGCCGAUCGUAGUCCGGAUUGCAGGCUGCAACUCGCCUGCAUGAAGUCGGAAUCGCUAGUAAUCGUGGAUCAGCAUGUCACGGUGAAUACGUUCCC
This 1245-nucleotide ribosomal RNA is filed under the name metagenome. Its description in RNAcentral is "bacterial SSU rRNA". It matches the Rfam family "Bacterial small subunit ribosomal RNA", at positions 136 to 1375 of the family's 1533-position model. The record is from RNAcentral.